This 284-nucleotide small RNA is filed under the name Gordonia bronchialis DSM 43247. RNAcentral describes it as "5' ureB small RNA". It matches the Rfam family "5' ureB small RNA". The record is from Rfam by way of RNAcentral. Lineage: Bacteria; Bacillati; Actinomycetota; Actinomycetes; Mycobacteriales; Gordoniaceae.
UCGUCCAUGAUCUGCGGACAGAUGAAGUGGACGUGACAGUCGAUCCCGCCGGCCGUGACGAUUUUGCCGUUGCCGGCGACGAUCUCGGUGGACGGCCCGAUCACGAGAUCUGGGUGGACGCCGUCCAUCGUGUCCGGGUUCCCCGCCUUGCCCAGCGCGACGAUCCGGCCGUCCCGAAUCCCUAGGUCCGCCUUGAUGAUUCCCCAGUGAUCAAGGACCACCACGCCGGUGAUCACCGUGUCGGGGGCGCCGUCGGCGCGGGUCGCGCGGCUCUGCCCCAUCGA